UACGGAGGGUGCAAGCGUUAUCCGGAUUCACUGGGUUUAAAGGGUGCGUAGGCGGCCUUAUAAGUCAGUGGUGAAAGCCCGGAGCUUAACUUCGGAACUGCCAUUGAUACUGUAAGUCUUGAGUACACUUGAGGUGGGCGGAAUACAUCAUGUAGUGGUGAAAUACUUAGAUAUGACAUAGAACACCAGUGGCGAAGGCGGUGCUCUGGGCCGGAACUGACGCUGAGGAGCGAAAGCGUGGGGAGCAAACAGG
Molecule: ribosomal RNA, 253 nt
Filed under: uncultured bacterium
Lineage: Bacteria
Description: partial 16S ribosomal RNA
Rfam family: Bacterial small subunit ribosomal RNA
Source: RNAcentral